CCUACGGGGGGCAGCAGUGGGGGAUAUUGGACAAUGGGGGGAACUCUGAUCCAGCGACGCCGCAUGAGUGAAGAAGUAUUUCGGUAUGUAAAGCUCUGUCAGCAGGGAAGAAAGAAAUGACGGUACCUGACCAAGAAGCCCCGGCUAACUACGUGCCAGCAGUCGCGGUAAUACGUAGGGGGCAAGCGUUAUCCGGAUUUAUUGGGUUUAAAGGGUGCGCAGGCGGAAGAUCAAGUCAGCGGUAAAAUUGAGAGGCUCAACCUCUUCGAGCCGUUGAAACUGGUUUUCUUGAGUGAGCGAGAAGUAUGCGGAAUGCGUGGUGUAGCGGUGAAAUGCAUAGAUAUCACGUAGAACUCCGAUUGCGAAGGCAGCAUACCGGCGCUCAACUGACGCUCAUGCUCGAAAGCGUGGGGAGCAAACAGGAUUAGAUACCCCAGUAGUC
Molecule: ribosomal RNA, 442 nt
Filed under: uncultured bacterium
Lineage: Bacteria
Description: partial 16S ribosomal RNA
Rfam family: Bacterial small subunit ribosomal RNA
Source: RNAcentral